RNAcentral lists this long non-coding RNA (2763 nucleotides) under Jatropha curcas. Its description in RNAcentral is "long non-coding RNA (JCUR_LNC003219)". Lineage: Eukaryota; Viridiplantae; Streptophyta; Magnoliopsida; Malpighiales; Euphorbiaceae. The record is from RNAcentral.
AAAGAUAGAUGUAGAAGACUAUUUGCUAUGAUAUUUUUUAUGUUUUAUUGUAAAUGUACAAAAAUGAAAUUAGAACUACUGUGGCCAAUGAAGAAAUGAAAAUAGGGGGGAGUUAGAGUUGCUUUGUUCAUAGUCGCAUUUUGUUGACCUUAUUGGUUGUUGUUUUGAGUGUUGUUGUGAAUUGUAAUGCAAAUUCAAUUACAGAAAUGCAAUUCAGUUUCCGUUUCUUUAAUUUGCUCCUUCCCUUCUGUCUCUUCUAUUUUCUCUUGCCAAUCAAUAGUUAGGUUGAUCUUAACAAAAGGUUGUGUUACGUUUAUCAUGUACAUGUUAAUCUGCAACUGUAUUUUUCUCAGCUUUUAUAUUGAGUUGGUUCAAAUUCAUCAUUUAUUGGCGAGCAACAUCAGGAAUCAUCUGGCGACACUAUCAAUUUCUGAAAAUAGAAAAGCAAGCUUGCAAUUGUCGGUAAGCAUUUCAAUAGGCAUCAGAACAAAAUAGUUUACCCGUGCAAUUUCAAAGAGGCUGGUCCAGUGGAGACAAGAAGUAUCAAUUGGACUCUUCAUAGAAGGUUUGGCUUGAAGAAAAGGAUACUAUUAAAAGCUUGUCUGAUGACUCAGAUAUCAAUCACAUUUGACUAUAUACAGAACUAGAGAUACGGAGAUAUUUACAGAACUAGAUAUGCGGAUACAGUUUUGAUCUCCCAAAUUCAAGAUCUUUUCUGCAAGUUGAAUGGAGACAUUCAUCAACUAAAACGGAGAAAAGGAACUUCACAAGAAGUGGCUACAGAGUAAAUUGGGCUUCAAGUCUGUUCUCACCCCUGCAGAGUUUGAAUGGAGGAUCUUAUCCAAAGUUGAAACAGCUUUGGUGAUGUGUUUCCCUUUGUUCAGCAUGACACAACUUGCUCUGUUAAGACGAAAAGGAAUCCUCAAUUCGUACUUUUGGAAAUAAAGAAAGAAAAAGCAUGAAAUUUGAAUUUAUAUUAAUGGCAUGAUCAGGGCAUGCGGAAUAUUUUACCUCCUUCCACUGGCUGCAUCAAUGAUCUCUGCUCGGGUGGGCACACCAGACUUCACAAGGGACUCUAAGACCUGAGUUGCCAAAAUGACAGGUACUUGAGCAGCAUCACAAAGAGAGAGAAUUUCUUCUUGCAUAUCAGCCAACCUUUCCCAGCCACAUUCCACUGCAAGAUCUCCUCUAGCAAUCAUCACUCCAAAGGGAUUUGAGGACUUCAUUGCCUCCAAUAACACCAAAGGCAAUUUCUCAAACCCACUCUUUGUCUCAAUCUUUAAAAUAACACCAAGGUUUUGAAGUUUCCGAUUUUCCAAUUCUUUGCGCAGCACAACAAUAUCAUGGGUGUCUCGGACAAAAGAAAUGCCUACCAUGUCAGAAUGAGUAGCAACAAACUCGAGGUCCACAAGAUCCUUUGAAGUAAGUCCUUCAAACCGAACAUUGCUAUCAGGAAUAUUAAAUGCUAUCCUUGCUAAUGGAUCAUUAAUGGCUGAGCUCCAUAUUUUAGGAAUUAAUGGUGACCUGGGGUAGUGAACUUGAUGAACUGAUUGUUGUGAAUAUAAUUGGGAUUUGUGAGAAUUUUGUAGUAUGUUGUUAUUGAAGAUCACUCUAAUAUUUCAGGUUCUUUUCCUAUUACCCUAAACCAACCAUUUUAUUGGCCAAAUACAUUUCAUGGAAGAAGGAAUUAAGAUAACGAAUUACUGUCUGAAUUGAAUUUCAAUUCCUCUCUCUAGAUUUUUAAUUUAUCUUCACUUCCUGGAUGUAUUUUUUGAAGGUACCAAUGUUUGAAAAGAUGGAUGAACAACUAUUAGAUGCUAUGUGUGACCGGCUCAAGCCAACACUCUAUACCAAAGAAAGUUACAUUGUUCGGGAAGGCGAUCCAGUUGACGAGAUGCUCUUCAUUAUGCGAGGCAAGCUUUUAACCAUGACCACCAAUGGCGGAAGAACUGGCUUCUUCAACUCUGAAUACCUGAAGGCUGGUGACUUUUGUGGAGAGGAAUUGCUUACAUGGGCCCUAGAUCCCCAUUCCUCAUCCAACCUUCCUAUCUCAACCAGAACCGUUCGAACCAUUACUGAAGUUGAAGCAUUUGCUCUAAUGGCUGAUGACUUGAAAUUUGUUGCUUCUCAAUUCCGGCGGCUUCACAGUAAGCAACUCCGCCACACUUUCAGGUUUUACUCGCAACAAUGGAGGACAUGGGCAGCCUGCUUUAUACAAGCUGCAUGGCGUCGAUAUAAUAAAAAGAAGCUGGAAGAAUCUCUGCAACAAGAGGAGGAUAGGUUGCAAGAUGCAUUGGCCAAGACAACUGGGAACUCACCGAGUUUAGGUGCCACCAUAUAUGCCUCACGAUUUGCUGCUAAUGCACUUCGUGCUCUACGGCGUACUGGUACUCGCAAGACAAGGUUGUUGGAGAGGGUUCCGCCCAUUUUGCUUCAGAAGCCUGCAGAACCUGAUUUUACAACUGGAGAAAGAUAGAUGUAGAAGACUAUUUGCUAUGAUAUUUUUUAUGUUUUAUUGUAAAUGUACAAAAAUGAAAUUAGAACUACUGUGGCCAAUGAAGAAAUGAAAAUAGGGGGGAGUUAGAGUUGCUUUGUUCAUAGUCGCAUUUUGUUGACCUUAUUGGUUGUUGUUUUGAGUGUUGUUGUGAAUUGUAAUGCAAAUUCAAUUACAGAAAUGCAAUUCAGUUUCCGUUUCUUUAAUUUGCUCCUUCCCUUCUGUCUCUUCUAUUUUCUCUUGCCAAUCAAUAGUUAGGUUGAUCUUAA